UCUCCUGUAGCAUAGUGGUUAGAGCAUCCACCUUGGAUGCAGGAGGUCGUAGGUUUGAACCCUAGCCAAGUCAU
Non-coding RNA from Potamilus streckersoni, 74 nucleotides. The record is from the annotation of a GenBank genome assembly. Lineage: Eukaryota; Metazoa; Mollusca; Bivalvia; Unionida; Unionidae.